UACGGAGGAUCCAAGCGUUAUCCGGAAUUACUGGGCGUAAAGAGUUGCGUAGGUGGCAUGGUAAGCGAGUAGUGAAAGCGUUCCGCUCAACGGAAUAAACAUUAUUCGAACUGCCAAGCUAGAGGAUGAGAGAGGUAGAUGGAAUUCCUAGUGUAGGGGUAAUAUCCGUUGAUAUUAGGAGGAACACCAAUGGCGUAGGCAGUCUACUGGCUCAUUUCUGACACUCAGGCACGAAAGCAUGGGGAGCAAACAGG
This 254-nucleotide ribosomal RNA is filed under the name uncultured bacterium. RNAcentral describes it as "partial 16S ribosomal RNA". It matches the Rfam family "Bacterial small subunit ribosomal RNA", at positions 524 to 776 of the family's 1533-position model. The record is from RNAcentral.